GAUGAACGCUGGCGGCGUGCCUAAUACAUGCAAGUCGAGCGAACGGACGAGAACCUUGCUUCUCUGAUGUUAGCGGCGGACGUGUUAGUAACACGUGUAUACCCUACCUAUAAGACUGGGAUAACUUCGUGAAACCGUACCUAAUACCGUAUAUUAUUUUGAACCGCAUGGUUCAAAAGUGAAAUUCGGUCUUGCUGUCACUUAUAGAUGGAUCCGCGCUGCAUUAGCUAGUUGGUAAGGUAACGGCUUACCAAGGCAACGAUGCAUAGCCGACCUGAGAGGGUGAUCGGCCACACUGGAACUGAGACACGGUCCAGACUCCUACGGGAGGCAGCAGUAGGGAAUCUUCCGCAAUGGGCGAAAGCCUGACGGAGCAACGCCGCGUGAGUGAUGAAGGUCUUCGGAUCGUAAAACUCUGUUAUUAGGGAAGAACAUAUGUGUAAGUAACUGUGGACAUAUUGACGGUACCUAAUCAGAAAGCAACGGCUAACUACGUG
This 497-nucleotide ribosomal RNA is filed under the name uncultured bacterium. RNAcentral describes it as "partial 16S ribosomal RNA". It matches the Rfam family "Bacterial small subunit ribosomal RNA", at positions 28 to 507 of the family's 1533-position model. The record is from RNAcentral.